CCUACGGGAGGCAGCAGUGAGGAAUAUUGGUCAAUGGUCGGGAGACUGAACCAGCCAAGCCGCGUGAGGGAAGACGGUACAGAGUAUCGUAAACCUCUUUUGUCGGGGAGCAAAAGCUGCCACGCGUCGCGUUCUGAGUGUACCUGAAGAAAAAGCAUCGGCUAACUCCGUGCCAGCAGCCGCGGUAAUACGGAGGAUGCGAGCGUUAUCCGGAUUUAUUGGGUUUAAAGGGUGCGCAGGCGGUAUGUUAAGUCAGCGGUAAAAAUGAGGUGCUCAACGUCGUCGAGCCGUUGAAACUGGUGUUCUUGAGUGGGCGAGAAGUAUGCGGAAUGCGUGGUGUAGCGGUGAAAUGCAUAGAUAUCACGCAGAACUCCGAUUGCGAAGGCAGCAUACCGGCGCUCUACUGACGCUGAGGCACGAAAGUGUGGGUAUCGAACAGGAUUAGAUACCCCUGUAGUC
RNAcentral lists this ribosomal RNA (459 nucleotides) under uncultured bacterium. Its description in RNAcentral is "partial 16S ribosomal RNA". It matches the Rfam family "Bacterial small subunit ribosomal RNA", at positions 338 to 795 of the family's 1533-position model. The record is from RNAcentral.